UCUUGCACCGUUCCAAAAGAGAG
This 23-nucleotide microRNA is filed under the name Drosophila melanogaster (fruit fly). Its description in RNAcentral is "dme-miR-4977-3p". The record is from miRBase by way of RNAcentral. Lineage: Eukaryota; Metazoa; Arthropoda; Insecta; Diptera; Drosophilidae.